GUGUCAGCAGCCGCGGUAAUACAGAGGGUGCAAGCGUUAAUCGGAAUUACUGGGCGUAAAGCGAGCGUAGGUGGCUUGAUAAGUCAGAUGUGAAAUCCCCGGGCUUAACCUGGGAACUGCAUCUGAUACUGUUAGGCUAGAAUAGGUGAGAGGAAGGUAGAAUUCCAGGUGUAGCGGUGAAAUGCGUAGAGAUCUGGAGGAAUACCGAUGGCGAAGGCAGCCNUCUGGCAUCAUAUUGACACUGAGGUUCGAAAGCGUGGGUAGCAAACAGGAUUAGAUACCCUGGUAGUCCACGCCGUAAACGAUGUCUACUAGUCGUUGGGUCCCUUGAGGACUUAGUGACGCAGCUAACGCAAUAAGUAGACCGCCUGGGGAGUACGGCCGCAAGGUUAAAACUCAAAUGAAUUGACGGGGGCCCGCACAAGCGGUGGAGCAUGUGGUUUAAUUCGAUGCAACGCGAAGAACCUUACCUGGUCUUGACAUAUCUAGAAUCUUGUAGAGAUACGAGAGUGCCUUCGGGAAUUAGAAUACAGGUGCUGCAUGGCUGUCGUCAGCUCGUGUCGUGAGAUGUUGGGUUAAGUCCCGCAACGAGCGCAACCCUUGUCCUUAGUUACCAGCGGGUUAAGCCGGGAACUCUAAGGAUACUGCCAGUGACAAACUGGAGGAAGGCGGGGACGACGUCAAGUCAUCAUGGCCCUUACGACCAGGGCUACACACGUGCUACAAUGGUAGGUACAGAGGGCAGCUACACAGCGAUGUGAUGCGAAUCUUUUAAAGCCUAUCGUAGUCCAGAUUGGAGUCUGCAACUCGACUCCAUGAAGUAGGAAUCGCUAGUAAAUCGCGGAUCAGAAUGCCGCGGUGAAUACGUUCCCGGGCCUUGCACACACCGCCCGUC
Molecule: ribosomal RNA, 895 nt
Filed under: uncultured bacterium
Lineage: Bacteria
Description: bacterial SSU rRNA
Rfam family: Bacterial small subunit ribosomal RNA
Source: RNAcentral